This 92-nucleotide microRNA precursor is filed under the name Tursiops truncatus (common bottlenose dolphin). RNAcentral's name for it is "miRNA (ENSTTRG00000023525.1)". It matches the Rfam family "Eukaryotic large subunit ribosomal RNA", at positions 1424 to 1515 of the family's 3401-position model. The record is from RNAcentral. Lineage: Eukaryota; Metazoa; Chordata; Mammalia; Artiodactyla; Delphinidae.
CAGGUGGAGCCGCCGCAAGUGCAGAUCUUGGUGGUACUAGCAAAUAUUCUAAUGAGAACUUUGAAGGCCUAAAUGGAGAAGGGUUCCAUGUG